Molecule: RNA transcript, 2028 nt
Organism: Nematolebias whitei (Rio pearlfish)
Lineage: Eukaryota; Metazoa; Chordata; Actinopteri; Cyprinodontiformes; Rivulidae
Gene: mavs
Gene name: mitochondrial antiviral signaling protein
Source: RefSeq, a predicted model, not a curated record
AUGUCGUUCGCCAGUGACAAACUUUGGAAUGGAUAUUUGCGGCAGAACAUGUCAACUAUUGUUAGUAAAGUGAAAGUGAGAGAAAUUGUGCCAUAUUUGCAGUGCCUGACCACACAUGACAGGGAAAAUAUAGAAGCAAAACGAGAAACUAAUGGUAAUUAUGAUGCCAUGAUUGUUCUCCUUGAGUGUCUAAAGAGAAGAGAAAAUUGGGCAGAGCAGUUCAUCGAGGGCCUGGAGGCAUGUGAGCAGUCAACGCUUGCAGCUGAGAUGAGAGCAGAAUACAGAGCUCUGACCGGUCGUAACAGUACCGACUCUGGUCCUGUUCCCUCUCCAACAACUGUGGUCAGGGUACAUGUUCAUCCAGCACCGUCUGCCACUCAGCUACCCAUUCCAGAGAGUGGUGGAAACAUGCAAGCUGCUGUGGCCCCCCCAGCAGAAACAGAACGAGCUGCUCAGGCCCAAUACUCUGUGGAAACACCCUCACAGCAGCAAGCAGUUCAAGUUCCUGAAGCUGUUCCCCCACCUGAGCCUGUCCCUGAUCCUCCGGUGUCAACAGAGAGAGCUCCCCUUCUUCCAUCCACACUGCCGCCUUCCCCAGAAAUCUCACACGCUCAAGCAGCAAAGGCCCCACAGCCACAAGAAAUAGUCUGUUCUCACCUGGAGCCGGAGGAGAACUCUGAAUCAAACACUCAAGCUGUCCCUGGAAACACUAGUCUAAUCCAAGACGAGGUGAAUUCAGGAAACAAAAAAGUUGUCAGUGUUGUGGUGCCCCCUCAAGAACACCAUCUGGUGUCAACCAGUGAAACGGGCGCCUCACCUCCAGAUCAUUUCCACUCAGCACUUACCACAAAUAACAAGCCACCGCACGGCCCAAACUUAGACGGCUCCUCUGUCCCGACAAUGACACCAGAGAAGCAGCCGGUCCAGGACACCACUCCUCUGGUCAACAAAGUUCCCACUGCUGUUCUGCUGGCCUCUAAACCUGCAGCCACACAGAUUUUCAUAAGCAGCCCGUUGACAGGACAUGAAGUUACAACCUCUCCUGAUGGAAUGAACGCCUCUCGUGUCGAUGAGGAUUAUGAAACUGUGUGUCUGAGCAAGCCAAAUCAACUCAUCAGCUUUCAACCAGAAAAUCCUGCAAGUCCAGUCCAGGCAUCAAGUCCACAUGUUCAGCUUUACUCUGGUGACACUGGACGUCUGGAAAUAAGUCAGGAUUCAUCUGACACAGUGACUCCAGCCCUGUCCGUCCAAGAAAAUGGAACCACUGUUAAUCAGAAUGAACCUGAGGAGAACCAUUAUGAGUCUCCAAAUCAGAGCAUGGAAGAGGUGCUGGAGAAUGUGGUGUGUGUAUCGGAGGUGCCAUCGGUCUCUAACCUGGAUGGUCAAACUACAGUGCCACAUGAUGAAAUUAUCAGUAAAAGCAAUUCUGAACCACCAAUAUUCACUAAUGCUGCUGUGUCAAGGUCAAACUCCCCUCACAGUGAGAACAGCAACCCCUCUGAGCCAAAAGCCCUGCAGAUUUCAGAAAAAAUGAUUGCUCCCUACACCCCUCCAUGCCAGUCAAAUAAUGCAAAAUACUUUCUGGUGGCUGCAGCGGUUGGUGUCUGUGCGCUGCUGAUGGUAUGGAAGUUUAAAAAAUAAAAGGUAUUUAUUACCUAUAAUGAAAGGGGAGUUAAGGUUAUGGUUCCUUACUGAAGUCACUACACAAGGAUGGCACAAAGCCUUGGGGGGUGGUCAUUUUGACCCAAGGGCAGCAAGAGGGGUUGUGGUCUUUCUGCUGUCAGAAUAUUGUGGGCACAUCAUGAACCUUGUUGAAUGCAGACUGUAGAUGAAUGGGUUCCAGCAUUUUAUUGCAAGAUUUAAAUAUUUUUGUCAGGUAAGCAUUGCUAAAACUACAUGAUGGUUAGUGUCCUUUAUAUUUAUUUGAACAUUGACACAAAUAGGUCUCUACAUACAUAUUAUUAAACUCAAAGCAUUAGUGAUCAUCUAAAUCACAAAUAUUCUGAUGCAUGCUCAAUAAUCCAGGUA